This is a small nuclear RNA of Hemibagrus wyckioides, 198 nucleotides long. RefSeq annotates it as U2 spliceosomal RNA. Lineage: Eukaryota; Metazoa; Chordata; Actinopteri; Siluriformes; Bagridae. The record is from RefSeq and is a predicted model, not a curated record. The transcript has a single exon.
AUCCUUAGUCUGGCCUUGAGACUAGGUAUGGAUAUGGGUAGGAUUAGGAUUGAAAAAAAAAAUCUGUUCUUAUCAGUUUAAUAUCUGAUACGUCCUCUAUAUUAAACAGAUUUUUAGAGCUGGGAAAGGGGAAAAGGGGCUUGCUACGUCCACUCCACGGCCUGGUAUUGCAGUACUUCCAGGCUUGGUGCACCGUUU